RNAcentral lists this unclassified non-coding RNA (430 nucleotides) under Hevea brasiliensis (rubber tree). The record is from RNAcentral. Lineage: Eukaryota; Viridiplantae; Streptophyta; Magnoliopsida; Malpighiales; Euphorbiaceae.
AUGAUAGCGAGCAUAGCUUGUACGCUUUGAGCUGGACGCUCGAUCAUUUCUUCGUUCCCUUCGUUUCUAAUUCUCCUUUCAAGCUUGUUGUUCUCCACGCCAAACCCUAUGCUGCUACUGCUGUCGGUCUACCUGGACCUGCGGCUGCUGAGAUUUUACCGUCUCUGGAGUCGGAUUUGAAGAGGAUAGCUGCUAGAGUUAUUGAGAAGGCUAAGGAAAUCUGCACCAGUAAAUCGGUGAAUGAUGUGAUAUAUGAAGUGGUAGAGGGUGAUGCAAGGAAUGUUCUCUGUGAUGCUGUAGAGAAACACCAUGCUUCAGUAUUGGUUGUGGGUAGUCACGGUUAUGGAGCUAUUAAAAGGGCGGUGCUAGGCAGUGUGAGUGACUACUGUGCUCAUCAUGCUCACUGCAGCGUGAUGAUUGUGAAGAAGCC